UAUCAAGCGCUUAGAACAGUGC
RNAcentral lists this microRNA (22 nucleotides) under Ornithorhynchus anatinus (platypus). RNAcentral describes it as "Oan-Novel-3_5p (mature (guide))". The record is from RNAcentral. Lineage: Eukaryota; Metazoa; Chordata; Mammalia; Monotremata; Ornithorhynchidae.